RNAcentral lists this ribosomal RNA (497 nucleotides) under uncultured bacterium. RNAcentral describes it as "partial 16S ribosomal RNA". It matches the Rfam family "Bacterial small subunit ribosomal RNA", at positions 28 to 507 of the family's 1533-position model. The record is from RNAcentral.
GAUGAACGCUGGCGGCGUGCCUAAUACAUGCAAGUCGAGCGAACAGACGAGGAGCUUGCUCCUCUGACGUUAGCGGCGGACGGGUGAGUAACACGUGGAUAACCUACCUAUAAGACUGGGAUAACUUCGGGAAACCGGAGCCAAUACCGGAGAAUAUAUUGAACCGCAUGGUUCAAUAGUGAAAGACGGUUUUGCUGUCACUUAUAGAUGGAUCCGCGCCGCAUUAGCUAGUUGGUAAGGUAACGGCUUACCAAGGCAACGAUGCGUAGCCGACCUGAGAGGGUGAUCAGCCACACUGGAACUGAGACACGGUCCAGACUCCUACGGGAGGCAGCAGUAGGGAAUCUUCCGCAAUGGGCGAAAGCCUGACGGAGCAACGCCGCGUGAGUGAUGAAGGUCUUCGGAUCGUAAAACUCUGUUAUUAGGGAAGAACAAAUGUGUAAGUAACUAUGCACGUCUUGACGGUACCUAAUCAGAAAGCCACGGCUAACUACGUG